GUCAGGAUGGCCGAGUGGUUAAGGCGGUAGACUUUUACCCUAUGGGAUCGUGGGUUCGAAUCCCACACCUGACA
Non-coding RNA from Frankliniella occidentalis (western flower thrips), 74 nucleotides. The record is from the annotation of a RefSeq genome assembly. Lineage: Eukaryota; Metazoa; Arthropoda; Insecta; Thysanoptera; Thripidae.